CUUGCUUAUUAGUGGGAAGUGUUUGUAGCUCGUAGAAGUUGAGGGGUUAGGAACGCCUGUGGGGGCUGCCUGGGUGGGGUGGGAAAAGUAAGAACGAGCCAGGAGAGUGGGGUAUAAAGCUUUCUUUUGUUUCAGAGGAGAGGGUUUUGGAAGUGGGGGGUGGGGGGGAGCGGUGUGAGGUCUAUCUCUAUAAAGCCAGCCUCUCUCGGCAGUCCCCGUGCAGGUUUUUCUCCUCUCACAGGAGUUUAGGGCCUGUAAAAAGACAGCCUCCUGCCCCUCUCUAGAUCUAGAGAAAGCUUUUUUUCCUCUCUGCUGUCUGAGUCUGAAAAGUCUCUUCGUCGGCUUACUUCCCUCAACUGGAGGGAAGAAAGUCUUAAAAACUUAGGGGAGCUAAAGCAAAGCUGCGGUCUCUUCCUUGUUAGGGGAAGCUAUCCUUUUCCCCAAGAGUGAUUUUUUUCUGGGAAUGAGUGGUUCAGGGAACUAGUAGCUCGUGGAGGGGGAGGAGGGGAGGUAGGUAGGUAAGCUCUGCUGGCUGUAUGGCUGCAAACUUGCUUGUAACAUGACAGAGCUUGUCUGCAUGGAAGCCUGAAUUAGAGUACACGGACUUAGAAGGGAUAAUUUGCUGUCUCCUAAGAGCCAAACACUUGAGAGUUCCUAGCAGGCAGUGGCUCCUCAGCCCUUCCUCUGAUAGUGACAAACUCGAGACUUCCCUGCUCUUACUAGUUGAGGUCCCUUUGUUUCAAGCAACCCGUGGCCUGGCUUCUCUGACCAGGUCUUGGAGAUGAUAGUUCUACUUGCUUGUCUUCUGUCUUGAUCCUUGAAGCUUUCUAAAACCCCUCUGGGAACAACCUAUAGAGUAGGUGUGCUACUGGAAAAGCCAGGGCAGAUGUGAACUUAUAUCUGGCAAAACCUAAAUGGAGUUGGGAGACCCGCGUGUUUCUCUUCCAACUGGAAACAUCAACGUGGGUUGAAUUGGGACAGCAGGUGGUAGUUAGGGCCUCAGCCAUUGGAGAUGAGGAUUUUUUUCUUAGAUUGUACUAUUCAACUCCUAGGAGACCUCCCAGGGGAGUGCCCAAGUAGGAAUUGGACUGACUAGAGUUUCUCUAACAGAAUCAUAACUACAUAGCUCCUGGAAGCUCCCUGCUGGCCUAGGUUUGGGAUACCACACCUGCAGUCUUGCCUCACCUGAGAGGGCGAGUAGCUUGUAGAGCUCACACCACAGCUGUGAUGACUGCUACACCCACAGCGUCAUGGUGUUGAGCCUGGCCUGUCUGGAAAGGCCCAGUAUUAAACCAGACUCAGACUGAAUGCUCUAGAAGAAGUGAAGCCUAAGUGCAUGCAAGAGGAACUGGAGGGAAUUGGCAGGCAAAUGAUCACAUGGUGUGGUGGUCUGAGAAGCAGGAAAACCAGAGGCCUAGAGGUGGCUCAACCUGCUGACCUGGGGAAAGUGAGUGGAAAGUGCUGACCCUACUUGAAAAUCAGGCAAGGCUAUUUUUUGUGGAGUUGGCUCAGCUGAGCCAGCUCUGGGCCGAACUUGAUGAGGGCUUAAAUAGAAACUCCUAAGGUGUCGACUUCAUGUGCCGCUUCUAGGUGCUUCAGGAGCUGUUGCUUUUGUUUGGCUUGGAGGUGUGGGAUGGGCUGGCAGGAGCUGAUCUACUGUAGUGUCAGUGACUUCUAGCUGGAGCCUCAACCUCGGAUCCUCUGUGUGGGGAAAUGCCUUUGUGGUGAUGUGGUAUGACAGAAUAUGGGCUUGAGCUCAUCUGAGUUCGGUCCCUAGCUCUGUCACUUACUAGCUCUGAGAACUUGGACAAGUUGUUGCAAAAGUGGCUUAAACUGGGGUUUUGUGACUAGAUAAGACUAGUUAUAGACCAGUGCCCAUCACAGCAGGUGCUCAGUAAGAGUUGCUGGCUGGUAGAGUACCCCGCCCUCUCCCAACAGCUCACGUGGUUCUGUCAUGGGCGUCUUACUUAGUACCUAUGCUCCUCAGCGUGGAACUUCUGUUCAGCCGUAAGCAUCACUUGAACUUAAGUGCCUCGUAACCUCCCUGUAGCCUGGCAGGCUCGCUAAAUCUAGUUUGGUACCUCACUGUUGAACUUUCUCUCGCUCAGUCAGACCCUGCAGCUGGGAUUGUAUGCACCUGUUGUCCUGAGCAACUGCUUCAAAUGACGGUACCUUAAGGCAUGGAUGAAAGCUGCUUUGUUAAUUCCUCAAGGUCUAAAGCAUGGUUCACAAUGGAUUUCACAAGAUCAGAGAGGGCCCAGCUGGAAUAAGUGUCCUGGAUGACAAAGGAGCGCGCUUGUGAUUAUAUUGGACCAGUAAGAAGUACAGCCUGCUGAGUAUGUUGAGAUGACGAAUCCACCAAGAACAUCAGUCCACCCAAGGACUAUGACACUGAACCUUGGAGAUUACUGCAGGAUGUUACAAGCACUUUGCUUAUGUCCAAAAUUGUGAGAACCAUGAAGAAUCUUCAUGAAGAAGAAACAGGUGGCUUGAGCCCCAGACACUCUGGCCUAUGGUGCAGUCUCCUGUGGCCAUGUCUCAACAGUUCAGAUCUGGGUCUCUUUUCACAGGGGAUUUCAUGUGGUUGGAGGGAUUUUUCCACUCUCAGCCU
This is a long non-coding RNA of Equus caballus (horse), 2611 nucleotides long. Lineage: Eukaryota; Metazoa; Chordata; Mammalia; Perissodactyla; Equidae. The record is from Ensembl.